ACUGCUGUUUAUUAGCAACUUGAAGUCAAACAAAUGCUGAAUGCCUCCUAUGUUCGGCGCAGGUGGCGGAAGGUCAAUCAAAUACCCUUGCACUGCCAGGAGAAUCCCAGGAGGACGACACUAAGCCUGGGGUUGUGAUCAGAGAUUCCAAUCACAAGUUCUUAAACUCUGUAUUUCAGCGUUUUGCACCCGGAAAGCAAGACCCAAAAAGCACUGAGCAAGCGCAGUGGCGCAGGGCUUGCAAUAGCAAGCCAUCUUCCCAUUGGCCGUGCGUUCCAAGGGCUCAGGCGCAGUGGUGAGGGAGCGUGGCAACAACGUGGUUCGCACCACUCCGAGGCGACACUGAGGAGGCGCGCGAUUCCAGUUCAGCUUACGGUUCAGCCUACGGUUCAACUUACGGGAUCUCUCACAGCACUGGACCUGGAGCAGCAGUCCUGCCCUGGGGGAGGAAGCUAGCCAGCCUAUAUUUGCCUUCUAAUGGACUGACCCAGCUUCCAAUGAUUCUUGGCAACUCACUUGGACCCGGCUGCCUCAAGGAUUCAAGAACGCAACCACUCUGUUCUGUGAGGCCUUCCAGAAGGACUUACUUGGUGAGUUUUCGAUCCCAUGACCCUAACCUCAUCUUGCUUCAAUAUGUGGAAGAUCUGUUGUUAGCUGCUGCCAGUUGUUCAGAAUGCCUUCAGGAAACAAGAGCUCCUACGAUUGCUAGAGGAGUUGGGCUAAUGUGUCUUGGUUAAAAAGGCACAACUCUGUGCUUCCCAAGCAUCGUACCUGUGGUAUGAGACCUCAAAAGGAAGAAAAACUUUGCCUCAGGCAAGGAAAUGGGCCAUUCUGCAGAUACCCAUGCCAACUACCAAGAAAUAGUUACAAGAAUUCCUAGAUGCAGCUGGAUACUGUGGCCUCUGGAUACCUGGGUUUGCCAAGAUAGCACAGCCCUGAAAUCAAGCCCUAGAGUGGAGAACAAAAGAAGAAAAGGUGUUCCAGGAUUUAAAACAAGCUCUGGUGUCAGCCCUGACUCUGGUGUUGCCUGGCAUCAAUCACCAAACCGUUCCAACUGUUCACUCAUGAGGUUCUCAGUCUGGCAACACUGAUGCCACAUGAUGACCCCAAUACCCCAAUGCAUGACUGUGAGGAGGUGUUGGACCACACCUAGGGAGGCUGCUCAGACCUAAUGGACAUCCCCCAGCUGAGGCUGACACCACUCUCUUCACUGAUGGAAGUAGCAUGGUGAACAAAAUUCAUGGCACAGCUGUACCAAGUAUUGGAGGCUGGCAAGAUCAGGAUAUUCAAGAGUUCCAUUGGCAUGGUGAAUCUGGUUGACAUGGGGCGAUGACUGAAAACUUGAAGGCAGUCUUGCUGGCUUCCACUCCUCACCUCCACAGGGAAAGUCCUUAAGUCACAUCUGCAGGGCCCUGUCCUGGCUCCAUGACUUUGAGCAGAAGAAACAGCAAGAAGAGGCCCACUGUCUCCUUGAACCUGAAGCCGGCCCCUCGCCUGAGGGGCAGACUUGCAUCCUGCAAUCUUGUCUUCCUGCCAAGCAUCCCCCACCACUCUGAGACCUACACAAGAGCCAGACUGGGUCACCAAGUUUGUGCAGAGGAAGGAAGGAAGGGACCUGGCAGAGCAAGUGAAGGUGAGGGCUGGGUAGCAUCCUCGAGUCAGUGGAUGCAGAGUCACCUCUGCUGACGGAACCAGCCAUCACUAGUCAAACAGUACCCGAGCAGAGGGGUGAGGAUUAAGAAAGAAAAACACUGACUCAAAGGAAAAGAAAAAGGAGAGAGGAGGAGAGACCUCUCUCCCCACUUUAUUGACCCUUUUAUAUCCUUUCCACAGUUCCCCUCCCCUCCUCACCACAUGAUCAGGUGACUAGUUUACAGAGAAAAGGUCAAGUGUAUCUUUACAAUUCCAGGGAUGUUAUUUCUUUGCUUUGCAGACAUUCAGAUUCUUUCUAUUUUUACUACUCUCUUCACAAGUCAACAUCCUUGUUUUCGUGCCAGUUUCAUAUCCAGGGUUCAUUAUACUCUCAAGAGGCUCAGAGGUCUUUCAAGGUUGUUUCAACCCUUCGCUCUCCACACUCUGCAUCCUUCUGAGCCGUGGUCACCUGUCCUUCUCUGGGCACCACUCCCCAUGCACUGUGUACCCAUGGUUGGCCUUGGUGAUGGGUCUGGGCCCUGGAUGCAAUGGAGGGAGGAGUCUGACCAGGCUGUGGCCCAGGAAGGGAUGCAGACUUCCUGCCCCAGGCAGCAAGGGUGACUUGCCAGUUUGAGGUUCAGAGGGACUCCUGGAACCCUCAUUGCUCUAGAGGAUGGCAGGGUCCCUGCAGGAGUCUCCUCACUGCUGUGUCCCCCCCCAGGAGAAAGAAGUGAGAGGAGUGGCUGCAGCAGGCCCUCAGGGUGGAUGAGGAUGAGGAAAACCUGGAAGAGGAACACAUCACAAAGGUUAAGAUGCUAAGGCCUAGAUCCUUCUUUGUCGGGCUGCCCUCCACAUGCACACACACACAGUCAUGCACCAUUUUUCUCUUUUCCUGUCCUUGCUCUGAAAUCCCUGAGGAGAGGGAGUGUCCAGCUCAGACUUCAUCUCUUGCUAUGGGAGAUGCAUGGGAGAUGCAUGCCUCCAUAGUGCUCCCGGACAGUGAGGGCCUGCCACAUGAAGACACAGCAGCAGGGACACUGCCUUUCCAAGAUCCUAAACCCUGGCUGAAGGCACAGUUGCAUGGGUGGCUUCCUUUGGUGCCAUGUGAUGCAAGGCAAUGCCAUGUUACUAGGGACCUGCAUUUGCAGCCACCUUCCUUGUUCCCUCAGGCCCUUGAUACUUGAUGUACAGAGAGCAUUUGGGGCUGUUAGCAUCCCCUCUUUGACUUCCCCUUCAUCUGCUCUGAGCAGAUUACUGCAACCAGAUGCUUUUGUCCUUUUGUCCUUGGCUCUAUUGAUAUAGUGUAUUACAUUGAUUGAUUUGCAUAUGUUGAACCAUCCCUGCAUCCCUGGGAUGAAUCCCACUUGGUCAGGGUGUAUGAUCUUCUGCAUUCUAUUUGCCAGUAUCUUACUAAGGAUUUUUGCAUCUAUGUUCAUUAGUGAGAUUGGCCUAUAGUUCUCUUUUUCAGUUGGGUCUUUCUCUGCUUGAACAAAGCAUUCUUGCAAGAAGUGAAUCUUAGGUUAAUGGGAACUUGUUCUUUCCCUUAUAUUAAAAUUAACUUCUUAUACAGGUUGAGCAAGAACCAUGGGCUUUUCAGCUGUAGAUACUCUCAGCUAAUACAGGCCCCACAGAGCCAUUAACCUGGGUUGGUCUCAGCCAUGGCCAGUGGCAGUUACAUUCUCUUUCUGCACACUAGCUGCAGCCAUUAAGCUGUGCACUUAUGCCUUAGACUAGUUCUGAAUUAAACCAAUUGUAUCUGCCAGUUGAAUAUAAUCAAAGCCAUGUCAAUACCAUCUUAAGGUAAUCUCCUUCAUGAGAUAUUCAGGAAGUAGUACUUCAAUCCUGGCCUUUAUUAAUAAUCCCUGUGAGCAGCAAUAUCCCUCACUGCACUUAGAAGUGUAUGUGAGACACUUCUAAGCUACUGUUCAAAUAGGGUUAGUUAGGUCCGGGGAUUUAGCUCAGUGGUUCCAACCCCUGCCUCGCAAACUCAAGGUCCCAAGUUCGAUCCCUGGUACCACAAAAUAAAACCCAAAGGCAGAACAAGGAAAACUAUCAUUACUCCUAAUGAACAUGAAUGCAAAUAGGGUUACUUAUUAAAUACACUUAACAUGUAAAUGAUGAUGAUGUGUUGUAAUAAUAAGAUUACUGAUUUAUUUAACCCUAAGUUGUCUGAAAUUAAAAAAUAUUAUUGUGUUAAUUAUGAAUAAAGUCAUAAACAGAAAAAACAUUUGAUUCAACAUAAAGUUUAUCUUAGGCAUUAGCUAUCUAAUUCUAAAUGACGACAGCUGUAUUUCUCUCAUUUUUAGUAAUAAACUAAAAUUUGUGUAUUAAAUGUGACAUGGCUAUAUUAUAAAUUUAGAUGUGUGUUUUUCUGAAGGUCAAAUUUCUAAACAUGUUCCAUUCCCACAAUACACACAAGACCUGCUCAUCCUGGAAUGUUGUCUUCUAGAUGGUUCCCGCAAUUACAGCAUGUUACUCAUUUUUGUCACCACAAGUAAACCACCACCAUCUCUCCAUUUUUACUCUCCUGCUCACUCCAGUUACUCCUUAUGUAUAUGAGGUGUGAUUGCAUUAUGCAGAGAAUGUUCAAAUUAAAACAAUUUUUUUACCAUAACAGGCACAUUGCCAUUAAUCCACCUAAAAUACUUUCUCUUCCUUCAAACACACAUGCCUUGAUUCUUUCCACUUUCUGAACAAUCCUGGAAGUUCUCUGUUCUGAGUGUCUUUAAAAGGUGUGAUAAAAAAUGAAAUGAAUGUUACUUCUUAGUGCUGUCCAAUGGAAAUGCAGGCUCAUAGAACAUUACUCUGUGUCUUAAUCCACCUUACUCACCAAACGGCACCAUUUCAAUUCCAGCUCUUACUCAAAGGAAAAAUAAUCAUGAAAGGUAAGCAUUUUGAAUCAAUUCAGGUCAUUGAGGUAGCCAGGUCAAUACAAGUAAAGACAUUCAUAAGAUAGGCCUUCCUGGACUCUUUCAGAAAGAAGUAAGAACAAUAGGAUGAGUGUAUAAAGUGUGGUGGAAUGCU
Non-coding RNA from Heterocephalus glaber (naked mole-rat), 4656 nucleotides. The record is from RefSeq and is a predicted model, not a curated record. NCBI's taxonomy places the organism in Eukaryota, Metazoa, Chordata, Mammalia, Rodentia, Bathyergidae.